This is an RNA transcript of Triticum aestivum (bread wheat), 4170 nucleotides long. It is a transcript of the gene named pentatricopeptide repeat-containing protein At4g28010, with no coding region annotated. The transcript has 5 exons. Lineage: Eukaryota; Viridiplantae; Streptophyta; Magnoliopsida; Poales; Poaceae. The record is from RefSeq and is a predicted model, not a curated record.
GUGAGGCAGGGCAGCCCGAACACGGCCACGACCCUCCGGACAAACUUGUCGCAACGACGCGCGAAACCAGCUCCUGUUCCGACCCGCGCCGCCGCCGCCGCCUCCGCUGCGCCACCAGCCCGCCAUGACGAGGAAGCACGCGGGCGCCGGCGUCCUCCACGCCCUCGUCGCCGUCGCGGCCUCCGUCGCGUCCGCCUCGUCCCGGAAGCCCCCGAGGCGCGCCGCGCCCUACCUCGCCGUCCUCCUCCGCCGGGGCCGCGCCGAGGCCGCGGCGCGCCUCAACCGCCACCUCCGCCUGCUGCCUCUCCCGGAGUCCCCCGCCCUCCUCUCGGCGCUCCCCUCCGUCCGCGACGCCGUCUCCUACAACACCGUCCUCGCCGCGCUCUGCCGCCAGGGCUGCCUCGACGCCGCGCUCCUCCUCCUCCGCGUCAUGUCGCACGAGCCCCGCCUCGCCUGCCGCCCCAACGCCAUCUCCUACACCACUCUCAUGCGCGCGCUCUGCGCCGACCGUCGCGCGGGCCAGGCCGUCGGGCUGCUUCGGUCCAUGCAGGACUGCGGCGUCCGCCCCGACGUGGUCACCUACGGCACGCUCAUCCGCGGGCUGUGCGACGCCGCGGACGUUGACAAGGCCGUGGAGCUGGUGAAUGAGAUGUGCGAGAGUGGUAUCGAGCCUAACGUGGUUGUGUACAGCUGUUUACUCCAUGGUUAUUGCAAGACCGGGAGGUGGGAAAGCGUAGGCAAGGUGUUCGAAGAAAUGUCUGACAGGGGUAUUGAGCCCGAUGUUGUGAUGUACACUAGUUUGAUCGAUAGCCUGUGUAGACACGGGAAGGUAACAAAGGCAGCGCGGGUGAUGGAAAUGAUGGCGGAGCGGGGGUUGGAGCCAAACGUGGUGACCUACAAUGUGCUGAUCAAUUCCAUGUGCAAGGAAGGGUCUGUGAGGGAGGCGCUCGAUUUGCGGAAGAAUAUGCUGGAGAAGGGCGUGCAACCAGAUGUUGUGACAUAUAACACACUCAUCACAGGGCUAUCUAGUGUGCUUGAGAUGGAUGAGGCGAUGGCGUUGCUAGAGGAGAUGAUGCAAGGUGAAACUAAAGUUAGGCCUGAUUUGAUGACAUUCAACUCGGUUAUACAUGGACUUUGUAAGAUUGGUUGGAUGCGGCAAGCGUUCGAGGUCCGUGCCAUGAUGGCUGAGAAUGGAUGCAGGUGUAACUUGGUGACAUUUAACCUGCUGAUUGGUGGACUCCUUAGAGUCCACAAGGUAAAGAAGGCCAUGAAGCUGAAGGAUGAGAUGGCUAGUUCUGGACUGCAGCCUGAUUCAUUCACCUACAGCAUAUUGAUAAAUGGCUUCUGUAAAAUGCGGCAAGUUGAACGUGCGGAAAGCCUCUUGUCUGAAAUGAGACGUCAUGGGAUGGAGCCUGAGCCAGUUCACUAUAUUCCUUUGCUUAAAGCUAUGUGUGAUCAAGGCAUGAUGGGUCAGGCUAGGGAUUUGUUCAAUGAAAUGGAUAGGAACUGCAAAUUAGAUGCUGCUGCAUAUAGCACUAUGAUCCAUGGUGCCUUCAAAUCAGGGGAGAAGAAAAUUGCAGAAGAGUUUCUUAAAGAUAUGAUUGAUGAGGGGCUGAUUCCUGAUGCUGUGACAUAUUCUAUCCCAAUCAACAUGUUUGCAAAAUCUGGAGACCUAGCAGCGGCGGAGCGGGUGCUUAAACAGAUGACAGCAAGUGGCUUUGUGCCUGACGUUGCUGUAUUUGAUUCACUGAUCCAAGGUUAUGGAGCUAAAGGCGACACUGAGAAGGUUCUUGAGUUAACUCGUAAAAUGACAGCCAAGGGUGUAGCACUUGAUCCUAAAAUUAUUUCAACUAUUGUCACUUCUCUUGGGGCAAGCAUUGAAGGGCAAAAGUUAUUGCAGAGUUUGCCUGGUUUUGAUACAGAAAUGUCAAAAGGCGACGUCAUCUCACCCCAUGAUGUAAUGAAUAUGCUACAAAAACAUUGCACCAAAUCUGAAUCCCCUGCUCUUUGCUGAGCUCUGAUCCCAGUUCAGUGCAGUCUAUAUCAUCCAAGGCAAAGCUGAAAGCAAUGACAUGUGAGAGCAAAAGUACGUACUCGAACGAUCAAAUCUUGCACAGACACAGUCCCACUGUUGGUUAAACGGCAUCUUCAAAUUUCACGUGGUAUGGCAAUUCAGCAUCCUUGAAGAGUUGUGGAUAUUUUGACAUGUAGUCGUAUGUAUCUUCAGAUAAACUAAACAGUUGGGAGUGUUGACAUCAAAGAUGGGAUGUGCCACCCUCACUAGGUUUUAAGAUGAGCAUGCCCACGACAAAUAUGGUUCAUAAGGGGCUAACCGGCAAACCUUGUAGGGGCUAUUCACAGGUUCCAAACCCACUGAGGUAGCCUGAACCAAACAAAACAGCUGCUCCAUUUACCAGGUUUGGUAUGGGUUUCAAACCAAACCUGUCUAUACUGAUACCCAACCAGUGUGGUAUGGUUACAGCGUACCGGACACUUUGAGCCUGAGUUACGUGGUGGAGUCGUCGAUGGCAGUAUGGCGCCGUCUCACAUCAAAGCCCAGAACUUGCUGCUGUGUUUCCUUGACAUGCUACUACCUCCGAGCAAGAGUUUUUCUACCAGCGAUGACGAACGGAUCAAGAACCAUUCCUGCAAUCCUGCUUACAUGCCAGUCAUCUCUGCAGCUAAUGUUCCAAAGGCCUUAUACUAGUCGGCAGAGUUAGAGGUGGCCGGUGGGCAUCUGUAUUGCCAAGGCCUAAUAUGGUGUCUUCUUUGCCCUGUGAGGGUUUGCAGUGGGAAAGUGAGAAAUUGCUUGGAUCAUUGUGCUGCUUGUUUUGGUAAAGUAAUUGCCGAAAAUUAGAGCGUCGCCCAGAUUGGAGGAAGAUAAAUUGGCUUGGGGCCCUGGAGUGCAGCGACUGGCUCUAGCUCCAGACCUGACGGACAACGCUCCUGCUGGCAACUCAUUUGGUCUUCGGAUGUUCCACCAACAGUACGCAACUUCACUUGGAGGGUUGCCACUGAUUCACUUCCAACAUGGAGGAGCACCUUGAAACUAGCGACUUAUGUCCAAUUUGUGCUACUGAAACUGAGGAUAGUUUUCAUGCACUGUGUCGAUGCACUUUGUCUCAAGUCCUCUGGGAUACAAUGACGGGUGUGUGGUCAUUGCCAAAUAUUUCUUCCAUGGUGAAUACUGGGAAAGAGUGAAUCUUACAUGCUCUACAGCCGAUGUCUGAAAUUGAAAGGUCUAUGCUUCCUAUGAAGUUAUGGCGGGCGUGGCAUAUACGUAAUGAGGUGGUCCACCAUAAAUCUCCUCCGGCCAUGGAUGCUUCUAGACGUUUCUUGGUAAGCUACCUAGAGUCCCUCAUCGGUGUUAAGAUAGACCUAUCAGCUGAUCCAAGUAAUGUCCGAGAUACCACAUGUGAUAACAAAAAAUGAGGCCACGUGGAGUGCUCCAAAAUCUGGCUGGGUAAUUUUAUGCACUGAUGGCUUGUUCGUGGACGAUGGUUCAGCUGGUGCAGGGAUGGUCCUGAGAGAUGACAAGGGUGCAAUUACAUUCUCAUCAUGUAGGCAACUCUUCUCAUGUCGUGAAGCCCUUGAAGCUGAACUAUGUGCUUGUAUGGAGGGGUUGUCGUUGGCUCUCCAGAGAAGUGAUCUUCCGGUCGUGAUCGAGAUGGAUUCGCUUAUCGCUGUGAAUUUGAUUCAGGCCAGGGAAGUGGACAUAUCAAUCUACACUUCGUUCAUUAAGGAGAUUAGAUAUCUUCUAUCACUCCAUGAAUCUUGUAUUACUCGUAUCAGUCGUAGUAAAAAAAAAGUUAGUGAUAGUCUAGCUAAGGGCCCAUUCGGCAAUCCAGCGGCUCCUCAAAAUCCAUGGAUGUGAGGAGCACCGUUUCGCACGCUCCCAGGUUUCUGGUUGCAGCUCCGUCCGCUUCGGAAGCGGAGCAAAACCAAACGGGCCCUAAGUUUGCUCGUUUACAAGGUAGAACUAUGACUUGGUUCGGUCCAGGGCCUUUGGUCGCUACAGACCUCGCUGCGAUUGAUUGUAUGAAUUUGUCGAAGUGAGUAAUACAAUAUUUCACCCGAAAAAAAGGAAUUGUGUGGAGGGAUGAUCGUUAUUUCCUCCCUGUGUUGGCUUGGUCUAAUGAUAAUGAUGUUUGGGAGUAGUACUGUACCUUU